Molecule: ribosomal RNA, 452 nt
Filed under: uncultured soil bacterium
Lineage: Bacteria
Description: bacterial SSU rRNA
Rfam family: Bacterial small subunit ribosomal RNA
Source: RNAcentral
AGAGUUUGAUCCUGGCUCAGAAUCAACGCUGGCGGCGUGCCUAACACAUGCAAGUCGCACGAGAAAGGGUAGCAAUACCUGAGUACAGUGGCGCACGGGUGAGUAACACGUGAAUCAUCUACCUCCGAGUGGGGAAUAACCUAGAGAAAUCUGGGCUAAUACCGCAUAACACUUACGAGUCAAAGCAGCAAUGCGCUUGGAGAGGAGUUCGCGGCCGAUUAGUUAGUUGGCGGGGUAAUGGCCCACCAAGACGAUGAUCGGUAUCCGGCCUGAGAGGGCGCACGGACACACUGGAACUGAAACACGGUCCAGACUCCUACGGGAGGCAGCAGUGGGGAAUUUUGCGCAAUGGGGGAAACCCUGACGCAGCAACGCCGCGUGGAGGAUGAAAUCCCUUGGGAUGUAAACUCCUUUCGAUCGGGACGAUUAUGACGUACCGAAGAAGAGCCCCG